GCCCCCGUAGCUCAGGGGAUAGAGCAACGGCCUCCGGAGCCGUGUGCGCAGGUUCGAAUCCUGCCGGGGGCACCU
Molecule: transfer RNA, 75 nt
Filed under: Streptomyces albidoflavus
Lineage: Bacteria; Bacillati; Actinomycetota; Actinomycetes; Kitasatosporales; Streptomycetaceae
Also listed under: 102 other names
Description: tRNA-Arg
Rfam family: tRNA
About the family: Transfer RNA (tRNA) molecules are approximately 80 nucleotides in length. Their secondary structure includes four short double-helical elements and three loops (D, anti-codon, and T loops).
Source: RNAcentral